RNAcentral lists this long non-coding RNA (2351 nucleotides) under Homo sapiens (human). RNAcentral's name for it is "non-protein coding lnc-ZHX1-1:2". The record is from RNAcentral. Lineage: Eukaryota; Metazoa; Chordata; Mammalia; Primates; Hominidae.
GACGCGCGCGCGGGAGGGCCCCGCCUUGGCCGGCUCUCUCCCUUCCCCCUCCGCCCCCGGACGGCCGCUGGGGCGCGCGCCUCUCCUCGCACCCCCACCCUGAGUCCCCACACUCCGCGGGGCCACCGAGCUGCUGAGGCCCCUUUGCGGGCCCGCCGAGCGGUUCCGGGUUUAGGGUUCACAGGUCAGAGUUGACUCCCUGAAAAGUGCAGCCGGUUUGAAAUGCAAGAUGGCGGCGGCGUGGCGCUGAGAGGCGCGGCGGCCCCUGCAGGUAGUGGCGCGAGCCGGCUCCGCGACCAGCGGGCCCGGAGACUCUGGGCUGCGGGUGGGAACUGGAGCGCAGAGUCCGCGGCCGGCACGGGAAAGGAGAAGACAGACUGCUGCUUUGGACCUGUUGGUAAUGAUGGCCUGAGCUAAACAUCUAACUAGAAGGGAUACCCUUCCAUUUCAAAGAACAGAAUGCUAAGGAAGCUGUGGCAACUGCCUAAAACGUUGAAGGAGAAUCAAUUCUUCAACUCAAGAUGUCUGAUUUACUGUGAAUUUGCCCAAUCUUUGAUGACAUUGAAAACGUUUUGGGGCAUACACACUCAAAAAGCAGGAUCCAAUACCCAAAAGAAAUGGAACUUAAUGUUGUGCCAAAGUUAAACUACUGCAGUUGGUGGAAGUUCUGCAAUGUAAAUAGAACACUAAUUAAAAAACAACUUGUAAAAAUGCAAUUUAAAUUUUAAUACAGUACAUUUUUCUUCUAAUAUGAUGGAGACAUUCUGAAUCUUAGACUUUCUGAGGGGGUUUAAUGACCACUAGAGCUUGUCCUCAUAUUCAGUCCAGUUUAAUACUGUAUGUCUAGUAAGAUGGGCUAUAUAUUGCCUCUAUUCUUUGAGAUGUGAUUAAGCUUAGAACUUUGACCAAAAAUUUUACAGUAAAAAUUGUUAGAAAUGGGUAAAAAAAAAAAAAAAAAAAAAACCCUGAUUUAUUACUAUGUCUUAUUUAUCAGACCCUGCACUAAGAUUAAAAGUUGUGCAUGGGCUUAUACAAUUUCAAAUGUAAAAACAGCCUAUUUAUAUAUGUUGAAACAAUAAGAUUUUAUGGUUUCACUGGCCCUUAAUAAUUGGAUCCUUCAUUAAACACAUCCAUGAAUACCACUGUUUCUACUGUUACUUGUUCCAUUAGAAGCUGAUUUGCUUUUUAUUAAACUGCAGGAAAUUAAUUCUGAAGAAGGAAAAGAAACUGACAUGGUAAUUUGGAUAGGGUGAAGCUUUGAAAUAAAUACUGCACCAAAAAUGUGAAAAAGAAUCACGUAGUAAAUGUAUACUUAGUGUUUUCUUACAAUCGUGGAAAUCAGAAAUGUUUAUACAGGUGUCAGAUCAGAAUUUUUAAGAGUUAUCUUUCAGUGAAAUUUUAUAACAGUUUCAGUGAAUAGAGAAAAAAUUCUGAACUGAUCAUAAUGAGUUAAAAGUUAGCUUUUCACUUAUGAAUCAUGGGAGUGUUAACUGUUAACUCUUGCCGUAUCAGGAGACUGAAAGUUCAUACUAAUUUACAAACUUUGUAAAGACUGGUGCUGUUCAUUCAUAUUGGGAAGAACCCUUUCUUUUGUGACCAUAGGACCAUUUUUCAAAAUGCGCUUUCUUCGUAGAAGAAAUGUUCAGUUUAAUUAGCUUUGGAUUUUAACAUGUUUUUCUGAAUGACCAGAUGUAGGCUUAGCCAGUUUAUUUUCUCUAAUUUAAUGGAUAAUAAAUAUUAAGCUCUUGGUUAAAUGUUUUUCAGCCAUUGAAAAUGUUAUGAAAAAGCCUUGAAUAUGCAUGCUGCUUUCAUUUUUAUAAACUUUUUAUUUUUUAACUAUAGCUUUAUUAGUAAUUCCAAAAUGCUGCAAUGUAGCUGAUUUCCUCACUCAGACAGCUGGCUUUGUGGGUGGCUUUUUUCAUACUACUGUUAACUUUUUUAAAAAAGAAGCAAUGUAAAGACCGUAAUGCACUAAGCUUUUUUUUUUUCUUUUACACGUUUAAAAACUUCUUAAAGCACUCUGUAAUAUAAUGAUUAAAUUGCUCCCUUUUAUAAACAUUGCUAAUGUGGUCUGAGUUUUGUUUGACAAUAAUUUUAAUGUUCUCAAAAUUUGAAAUGUCAAGUAUUAGAAAUGAAGCCUUUGAAUAUAGUUGUUUCCCUUGCAAUAUGUUAACUCUGUGUAGCUGUAUAUAACUAUUAAUUUCCCUCAUCUCUUUUAUAGGCCUGAUAAAACUCUUCUCUGACGUUUGCUAGCUUUUAAAUAUAUUUAUUUGACAGAGCAAAAGAACCCUCUUCUGGUUGAUUGUGACCUUGAAUACAAAAUAAAAGUAGUGAUUAGUAGUUUACAGUGA